This is a long non-coding RNA of Rhineura floridana, 1305 nucleotides long. RefSeq lists it as uncharacterized. Lineage: Eukaryota; Metazoa; Chordata; Lepidosauria; Squamata; Rhineuridae. The record is from RefSeq and is a predicted model, not a curated record. The transcript has 3 exons.
UCCUUUGCAGCCUAGCUUGAGUUCAAGCCAGGCCGCUCAGAAAAACUGUUCAUUAACCGGUGCAGUUUGAAGCUGCACUUGCAAAAGAAGAAAGGAAAGAAUCAGAAGGAAAGAAAGAUUGUUUUUCUCCUUGAAGUUGGGUCACCUGGCAUUAUGGUGAUGUAAGACAACAGGCUUUCCGAGGUUGGACAACAUGCAGAGUUGGCGAGAGAGCUAUUAAAGAGCAGGAAGGAGAGAACUCUCACAAAUAAGCGAGAGGAAAGCUGGUGAUCUUUGCUAUCCUGCCAUCCACCUGCCACGUGUAAAAUUCAAGGAUAACAAACAAAAGCAUCAGGCAUAUGACUCCUACUGGAACGAUUAAGCCAGGAGAUAAUCAACUAGAAUGUUAAGGAAACAAACUCUUCUCAGAGUAACUAGCCAAGAAGUUUGAAUGGCCUCAGAGCUCCCACCAGAGAGGCCAAAAGUCUCUCUGCUCAAUCACCUCCCAGAGUAGCUGGAAGAAGAUUCACAUUUUAGAAGCCAUUUCUCAGAGACCUAAAAUAUGCUCUUCCUGGCUGGCAUCAUUUUAAAUACUUUCAACACCUAAUAGCUAUCAGGAAAACACAAUUUUUAACCUUUGUUUUAACUAUUGAGCCUCAGCUUGGGCAUAAAAUAUUAUGCUUUUUGUCUUACUAACCCGGACUGUUCUCUCUUGAGGAUCCUUGCUGAGAAAUUGCAAGCAAUCUGUGACUCUGUGUCUGCUUCCCUCCUUUUCUUCCUGAUUCCAAGGCUAUAUAUUCAAAUCUCAGCAGAACAGGACUGGUUGCAUGGCAUGCCCCCCUUCCCUAUACGAAAUAUCCUUUGCUGUUCUAGACGGGUCUUCUUUGGAACGCCUCUUUCCUUGCUUUGUUGGCAAAUGUGUUCAUAAGGCUCCAGGAUGAACUUCCCUUUGCAUCCUCAGAACAACGUCUGAAUUCUCCACAGAUCUUUCUCCUUCUCCAUCCUUCUUUUAACCUCCCCCCAAAAAACCCCUUGUCAUUCCCCCCAAAUUUAAUUGCUUUCCAUUUCUUCCCAACGCUUUGACAUCCACCACCACCCCCAGCAAUCCAAGCCUAUUUUUGACAAGCCACUUCAAGCCUCUCCACUGGUUUCCCCCGGUCUGUUUCUGUCUCUUACCCCUCUGUUCCUGUUAACUCUUUCACUCUUUGCUCAACACUUUGCUUCUUCCCUUCCAGGCCUCCCCAAAUCCUCCUACUUUUAUCAAAAUCACAAAAUUGUAUCUGCAUUCCUUGCUUACUUCUCUACCACCACCCACCACUUCAGGGA